UUGGAGGGCAAGUCUGGUGCCAGCAGCCGCGGUAAUUCCAGCUCCAAUAGCGUAUAUUAAAGUUGUUGCAGUUAAAAAGCUCGUAGUUGAAUUUCGGGGUUAGUAGGCUGGUCGUGCCACAGGUAUGCACUGGUCUUACUGAUUCCUCCUUCCUGAUGAACCGUAAUGCCAUUAAUUUGGUGUUGCGGGGAGUCUGGACUGUUACUUUGAAAAAAUAGAGUGUUUAAAGCAGGCUAACGCUUGAAUACAUUAGCAUGGAAUAACGAAAUAGGACGUUCGAUCUUAUUUUGUUGGUUUCUAAGAUUGACGUAAUGAUUAAUAGGGAUAGUUGGGGGCAUUAGUAUUCAAUUGUCAGAGGUGAAAUUCUUGGAUUUAUUGAAGACUAACUACUGCGAAAGCAUUUGCCAAGGAUGUUUUCAUUGAUCAAGAACGAAAGUUAGGGGAUCGAAGACGAUCAGAUACCGUCGUAGUCUUAACCAUAAACUAUGCCGACUAGGGAUCGGAUGAUGUUAAUUUUAUAAUGACUCAUUCGGCGCCUUACGGGAAAC
RNAcentral lists this ribosomal RNA (548 nucleotides) under uncultured Glomus. RNAcentral's name for it is "SSU rRNA". It matches the Rfam family "Eukaryotic small subunit ribosomal RNA", at positions 548 to 1098 of the family's 1831-position model. The record is from RNAcentral. Lineage: Eukaryota; Fungi; Glomeromycota; Glomeromycetes; Glomerales; Glomeraceae.